ACUGUAGAGAGCAGCAUCUUACUUCCAUGAUUUUGCACACCGGAAACUCAUAGGGACGCGAGGAAGAAGAGUAGGAGGCAAAAUCGUGUCGGUGAAGGGCCAAGACAGAAACUUGGGACAUAAAAUCAAAGAGAGAUACUAUCACAAUGCUUCCCCUAUCACUGCUGAAGACUGCCCAGAACCAUCCUAUGCUGGUCGAGCUGAAGAACGGAGAGACGUACAACGGUCACCUGGUCAGCUGCGACAACUGGAUGAACAUCAACCUGAGAGAAGUUAUCUGCACCUCAAGGGAUGGAGAUAAGUUCUGGAGGAUGCCUGAGUGCUACAUCAGAGGAAGCACCAUCAAGUAUCUGCGAAUCCCAGACGAGAUCAUCGACAUGGUGAAGGAGGAGGUGGUGUCGAAGGGCCGCGGACGAGGAGGCGCCCAGCAGAACAAACAGCAGGGCAAAGGAAGAGGAGGAGCCGGGCGAGGUCUGUUUGGCAGUCGUGGCAGAGGAAUGACCGGCCCGGGUCGGGGCCAGCAGCAGCAGCAGCAACAGCAGCAGCAGCAGCAGCAACAGCAGGAUAAGAAACCAGGAAAACCACAGGGAAUGAAGAACCAGCACUGACAGACAAUGCAGAACCUUCAACAACAGCACAUCCUCUUAUUCAGAGCUAUUACUCCUUCAGUACACGAAGACAGAAUUAACUCUCUGGUGUUUUCUUCUGCUGUGAUGUUUGUAAGAACUGACCGUUGCAGAAAUCACACUGGGAGAGGUUGAGAGAAGCUGCACUGAAUUUUGUUUUUUAGCAUCUGUAAGUUGGUAUUAACAUUUUUUUUAUGACCAUAUACCAGUGCAUCAGUCAGAGCUGAUAGACUUCUCCUUUAGUAUCAAUUUGUAAUAUUACAACUUCACAUUUUGUAUCAUAAAUCACAUCUAAUUAUCAUAAAAGAAAAAACAGUUUUCCCUCAGUUGGUACACUGGAAUGAGGUUUCUAUUUUUAGUUUUUUCAGUGGUUGGUUGUUUGUCAGCUUGUCUCCUCAGGUGUGGUUUUCAUUAAUGAAGAAACUGCCCAGCCCCAACUUAUGUUGCAUGAAUAUUUUGAAUAUUGAUUUUUUUUUUUUAAACUGGCUCUUUAUUUUCUGUGUUGUUUGUGACGUUCUGUUGUUUGCAACCUUUUUGUUUGGCUGCUGCAGUGAACAACCUGAUCACAGCAGGUGAACAGUAGACCAGCAGUCACCAGAUUGAGGAUUCAGUCUCUGAAAAGAAACACUUUUGUUAAAGCAUUUGUAAAUCACGACACGUGAUGAUGAUGAUGAUGGAGAAAAAAAUGUCUCAUGUUCUUAAGUCAGACAUGGAUGAGUGUCCGUUUGGUUAGGUUUCAUUUUAUUUUUGUAACACGAGACGAUGUUGUAAUUUAUUUACAUGAGAACAUGAGAAUAAAUCAACUUUUGUUAAAGCGGUUGUUUGGUCCUGUUACUGUUAUAAUUACCUUGGAUAAAUUUUAAAUUUUUACAUCUUAAGCCUGCAGAUCUAGAAUGAGUGAAAAGUAGUUUCUGUGGAGCAUAUGGUGGAUAAUAAGUUCAAAUUAAAUUGACAGUAUUAAUUAUGCUGGGCUCUGAGUCAGUGGUAAAGUGGUUUUCAUGUGCAGAAAAGAAGCUUUAAUUAACUGACCACUAUAUUUCAACUGUUAGAGAAAAAAAGAAAAUCAGUUUAAACUCAAACUAGAUAUUUACAGUAUGAAUGACAGAUGAAGUCUUAGGCUCCACAUUUAUAUAUAAAUUGAUUUACUGAUUAGUUGACACAAAUGGAGAUGUAAACUAAAUGUAAUAAUCAAUUAAUGACUUAAUCCUUAAGCACACAGAAAAUUAACAUUUACUGCUUACAGCUUCAUAACUGAAAGGUCAUAUGUAUUUCAUUGUAAUACAAAUCAGAUACCUCUACCUCUGGUUUUUGUGAGAGUGAUCAAACUAAAUUUUUUUUUUUUCCUUACAAAACUUCUUGCUGACAAAUGGAUAAUCCUAAUAGUUGGAAGGAUAUCAGGCAAUAAUUAAAAAUGUAUGUUACAAUUAAUCAGUGUUUGGCUGCUGCAUUGUGGUUAUUAAAUCUUAAGUCUUUUAAUGUGCCAUCUAAUUAUUGUUGUUCUGAAUAUGCCUCACACAGUUUUCUUGUAUUUAAACUUGUUACACAGAAUGACAUUUUAGUGAGUGUCCUCUAUAAAUCACGGUAAAAAUGUACAGUGAUUAUUUUUUGCUCAGAAAACAUUAGAUAGGACACAUUCCAUAGUACAGAAAAAAAUUACAAAAUUUCAAGUUGUGUUACACUUUUAUUUUGAAACAAGAUAACCUCUUUCCAACCUCAAGCUGUCAUGGCCAUCUUUUAUAAUAUACCAUGAAUAUUGUUGCAGUAACAGUAUGCUCAGCUAUACUUUUUCUUGUAACUUAAGAAGUACACUAGGCAAGUAAUUAAUAGGCAAGAUACCUUGUACACUACA
This is an RNA transcript of Lates calcarifer (barramundi perch), 2475 nucleotides long. The record is from RefSeq and is a predicted model, not a curated record. NCBI's taxonomy places the organism in Eukaryota, Metazoa, Chordata, Actinopteri, Centropomidae.